GUGCGUGUGACGAAAAAUGAUGGAUGAAAAACGCGAGAAGCGGGGUCUGAAGUCUUUCGUUGGUCACACACACUACCAGCAUUGCAUCUACCAGCGGAUUGCGCUACACCGAGUCUACCCAUCUCUCUCGAUUUACCAUGAUUUUUUCUGCUAUCGCACUCAUCCGGGAGUUAGGCAUCCUCAGUCUGUCCAGAAUUUUCGUUGUGGAAGGAUGUGCGGGAGUGAUAUGCGAUUUCUUGUGUCCCCUGCUUUCCUUGUUUACGUUUUGCGCAGUGUUGUUUCUUCUUCCAUUCUGGAAUGAUUUAUCCUAGCUAACUUGUUGAGGUGCAUGCGCCAUUCAUCAACGCCUACGUGUUGGCAUCAUCAACAAUCUUCAAAGUGGGUGACGGAAAGAAAUUGUUUUCCAGUUUUAAAAUAUUAAGCAUUCAGCACAACUCAGCCACAAAACAACGCACUGGAUUACGCUAAGAACCUGUCGAAACGCGCGCAGCCCCCGGGCGCGGUAGGAGAAAGGAAGAACGAGAGGAGAAAACUAAAGCCAGCGCGCAGCUCUGAUGGUACCCAGGACGCGGUAAGAAGAAAAAAGAUCGAGAGGAAGAAGAACGGUAAAUUUGGAAGGGAGAGACCGUUCUGCCGUCCACACAGUGUGAGUAAGCCAAAGCACGUGUUGGAAGGGAGAGAAAAAGUGUGGAAUAAACCGCAUGCGAAUGUGUGCAUACAGCAAAAGUAAACAUGUGUGCCGCAUCAUUUCUAUAAGCAAUCCGAAAAGGGGGUGGAGCAAACACAUUGGUAU
This is a long non-coding RNA of Anopheles arabiensis, 793 nucleotides long. RefSeq lists it as uncharacterized. Lineage: Eukaryota; Metazoa; Arthropoda; Insecta; Diptera; Culicidae. The record is from RefSeq and is a predicted model, not a curated record. The transcript has 3 exons.